Molecule: ribosomal RNA, 278 nt
Filed under: uncultured Pseudomonas sp.
Lineage: Bacteria; Pseudomonadati; Pseudomonadota; Gammaproteobacteria; Pseudomonadales; Pseudomonadaceae
Description: partial 16S ribosomal RNA
Rfam family: Bacterial small subunit ribosomal RNA
Source: RNAcentral
GUCCUUAGUUACCAGCACGUUAUGGUGGGCACUCUAAGGAGGACUGCCGGUGGACAAACCGGAGGAAGUGGGGAUGACGUCAAGUCAUCAUGGCCCUUACGGCCUGGGCUACACACGUGCUACAAUGGUCGGUACAAAGGGUUGCCAAGCCGCGAGGUGGAGCUAAUACCCAUAAAACCGAUCGUAGUCCGGAUCGCAGUCUGCAACUCGACUGCGUGAAGUCGGAAUCGCUAGUAAUCGUGAAUCAGAAUGUCACGGUGAAUACGUUCCCGGGCCUU